GAUGAACGCUAGCGGCAGGCUUAAUACAUGCAAGUCGAGGGGCAGCAUGGUGGUAGCAAUACCACUGAUGGCGACCGGCAAACGGGUGCGGAACACGUACGCAACUUACCCUUAACUGGGGGAUAGCCCGGGGAAACCCGGAUUAAUACCUCGUAACAUAUUGUGGUGGCAUCACCAUAUUAUUAUAGCUUUAUUGUGGUUAAGGAUGGGCGUGCGGCUGAUUAGGUAGUUGGCAGGGAACGGCCUACCAAGCCUGCGAUCAGUAACUGGUGUGAGAGCACGACCAGUCACACGGGGCACUGAGACACGGGCCCGACUCCUACGGGAGGCAGCAGUAAGGAAUNUUGGUCAAUGGACGCAAGUCUGAACCAGCCAUGCCGCGUGGAGGAUGAAGGCCCUCUGGGUUGUAAACUUCUUUUAUCU
This 423-nucleotide ribosomal RNA is filed under the name uncultured bacterium. RNAcentral describes it as "bacterial SSU rRNA". It matches the Rfam family "Bacterial small subunit ribosomal RNA", at positions 28 to 441 of the family's 1533-position model. The record is from RNAcentral.